RNAcentral lists this ribosomal RNA (274 nucleotides) under uncultured bacterium. RNAcentral's name for it is "partial 16S ribosomal RNA". It matches the Rfam family "Bacterial small subunit ribosomal RNA", at positions 523 to 796 of the family's 1533-position model. The record is from RNAcentral.
AUACGGAGGGUGCAAGCGUUAAUCGGAAUUACUGGGCGUAAAGAGUACGUAGGUGGUUCGUUAAGUCAGAUGUGAAAGCCCAGGGCUCAACCUUGGAACUGCAUUUGAUACUGGCAAACUAGAGUAUGGUAGAGGGGGGUAGAAUUCCUAGUGUAGCGGUGAAAUGCGUAGAUAUUAGGAGGAAUACCAGUGGCGAAGGCAGCCCCCUGGACCAAUACUGACACUGAGGUACGAAAGCGUGGGUAGCGAACAGGAUUAGAAACCCUAGUAGUCC